RNAcentral lists this ribosomal RNA (348 nucleotides) under Exechiopsis sp. ER-45. RNAcentral describes it as "partial 16S ribosomal RNA". Lineage: Eukaryota; Metazoa; Arthropoda; Insecta; Diptera; Mycetophilidae. The record is from RNAcentral.
AAAGGCUGCGGUAUUUUGACCGUACAAAGGUAGCAUAAUCAUUAGUUUUUUAAUUGAAAACUUGUAUGAAGGGUUUAACGAAAUAUUGACUGUUUCAUAAAAAUUUUAAUAGAAAUUAAUUUUUUAGUCAAAAAGCUAAAAUGUAAUUAAAAGACGAGAAGACCCUAUAGAGUUUUAUAUUAAAAAUUUUAUAAUUAAUUUAUAAUAAUUAAAGUUUUAUUAUUGUUUAUAUUUUGUUGGGGUGACAGUAAAAUUUUUAUAUCUUUUAUUUUUUUUUAAACAAUGAUUUUUGAAUAAUUGAUCCACUUUUAGUGAUUAUAAGAUUAAAUUACCUUAGGGAUAACAGCG